GGAAAUCCGAAGUGAAACCCAUCAAGCAAUAUGGCGGAAGAAAGUUUGGACCUUGUGAAUGACACCAAAAACUAUAAUUUUGUCCUAUUCAUCUGCUAUGUAAAUGUUAUUCAUUAUAACGCUAGAGAAUAGAUGGCGACUGGAGAAACCGGCCAUGUAUCAGCAAUAGCCAUUGAAUCUGAAGAGGUGAAGAACAGAGUGCCAGUGGCCGUACCUUCAGUUGGGUUAAGGGUGCAGGUCCAGCAAGGCAAUGGUACAACAAGUAAAACAAUGACAGUUGCAGGCACUGACGUAGGUGCAGAUGAUGCUACCAAACAACCUGACAACAACAACACACCACUUAAUGAUAAUCCCACAGAUGGAAGUCCAGUGAACACACUUCCACCUGUAGUAGCAAUUGCAACUUCCCGUCGUAAUGAUCAUUUAUACCCAGAUCUUGAUAUCCCGAUCCUAAGAUCAAAUGGAAAUCAGAAUCUAGAUUCCGGAAAUGAAAAGAUAAAAGUAAUCUGCAAUGGAGAAGUAGACUCCCUGGCCGAGCAAGCCAUGGGGAACAGUAUUGAAACAGGAUGUGCACUGGGAAAUUCCGAUGAUAUUAAAAUGCCAAAUGGAUUCAUUGUGGGUAAUGGUGGAAUGGAAGAUCAGGGAUCUAAAGGAUGCCAAGCAGUUAGGCCUAAAACUAUUUCAUGGAGUCGAUUGGUCAAACAGAGAAAAGACAAAAAAGAAAGGAACAAAAAACAAAAUAACGUUCGAAGUCAAAGCCGCGGGGAGGCAUAUUUAUACCCAGAAAUGUAUUCUAGCUCUGAAGAAGAUCUGGAUGAUAUUGUUAUUAUGCCAGCAGAAGUAUCAAAGAAAAGUUCCAAAUCACAGAUAGCAAAGUCGUCAAGCAAUGGAGGGACUGACUGGAAUUUCCAUCUUGUCCACGAACCGACACAGGAAUUAAAAAGACCAAUGUUUUCUGAUAGUGAUGCAAGAUAUAAUGCUGAUACUACAACAAAAACUGAAAGUGUUGUCAAUGGAACUGGAUGUGAAAGUACUGACAGCAAUGGGUCAAAAUCCUCUUCCACAAGAAGUGGGUUGUGCCCUCCGUUUGAUCCAGUAAUGAUGGUUAGGAGUGAUUGUAUUCUAGCCCCGCUUGCAGUGCCAGAGGACAGUGGAGGAUCUUCCUUGUCCAGUGGAUCUGACUCAAAUUUUAAUCCUAAUGAUUUUCACUGUGAUAAUUUUGACUCUUCUUUAUAUGAUAAUGAUAUGUUCAGAUAUUCCCAGUCCCAAACUAGUCAAGGUCAGCUUGCUCCACAAAUUCUAGGAAUGAAUAAUAUUUCUUGUGAAGAAAACAUGCCAAAACCUGAAUCCGAAAUGCAGAGAUCACCUAUUAUGCCAUUCUUACCAAAUGCACAAAUUCAACAGCUUCCACGCCCUGCUAGUAAUGAUAGCUUAGAUGAGAUAGGUGAUUACAUUGACACAGACUUUCCUUCUCAAGCCAGCCGGCUUCUAUUUGCCUGUAGUUCAACAAGUUCCUCUUCUACCUCAUCUGAUGAGGAUGAGGGGUACGGGGUAAAUGCAGAACCUCGGAUCCCAGACUUUUCAGAACGAGAGGAAGAUAGAAAUGAAAUGCCUGUCCUCCCACAGGAGCCUUUACCAUUUCAUGAAGGGAAAGCAAAUGGACACAGGGAAGAUGAAAGUGAAAGUAGAGUUCUAUUUUUAGAUGAUUCUCCAAGUGAUUUGAAGCUCUGUGAUAGAUUGUCUAAUCAUGUCUGUUCAAAAGACAAUGAACAUGACAAUACAACCAGACCAACCAAGCCAUUGUCAAGAUUGGGCAGUUGUACUGGUAAAAGUGAAAGUGGAAGUGAGGUCGGGGGUCAAAUGGGUUCCGAUUCAUCUGUUGUAUAUUCCCCAGAGGCAGAUUUUCUAGAAUUUGUUGACUCGGAUCUUCCAGGAUCUGCAGGACUUAACCAGUCUUUCUCCUUUGUCAGAGACGCCGAGAUCCUGACCCCGUUUUUGUCUGAUGAACGUUGCUAUCCCAACAACUGUGACGGUGUUCAUCAGGCAUCCUUAGCUAACAGCUGCGAGGACAUGCUAGAAGAGGGUGCUGCCUCUCUCACCAAUAAUCUCAACUACGACAGAUGCUGUACUGGCUUCGAUGACUUUGACAAUAAUAUGGAAAGAUAUGAUCCCCACCUUCACGCUGAUAAUGAAAACUUUCACACAUAUUGCAAUCCAGAUUUAUGCAAGCAGGAAAAGGUACCCGGUGCAAAUUUUCAAAACUCUGCCAGUAAUCGCAGAGAAAAGAUUUUCUAUAAAGCUGCCCUGGAUAGGGAAAACAGGUUAUCGCCGGGAUCUUCGGAUGAGGAGGAAAAUGUCUCCCAGAGUUUUAUGAGGGAUGUGGCUUCCAAUCUGGAGGGAGAGGAGGAUUGUGCACCCCAAAACAGCAACACUGAGUGUAUGUACAUGGGGGACUUGGAGAAUCUCACUCAUGCCCUACAGAAUGCUGUCAUCAUGCAAUUACCGCCCAAACUGGAAGAAUCCUCAGGGGAGAGUUCUGAUGAGCCAAUCUAUGAAGAGAUUGAAUGUUUGGAGCCGCUGUUGACCGGUGAUAACAGUCUGCAUGUGGUCAAGGAGGAAGUCGUCAAAUCUGCCGACAAUGUGGCCCAGGUUAUACCGAAAUAUGAACAGCGGCGUCGCCGUGGUAACAAGGCUCACUGUCAUGUGGAAAAGGUGCUGAUCUGGAACGAGUAUGAGGCAUAUGUCCUGCAAGUGAAACAGAUCGGCACAUCUGCGUGUGGUCCCACAGCAGUUCUCAAUGUAAUGAAAGCAUUUGAUUACCAAGUGGACAAGGAUGAGAUCUGUAAACAGAUUCUUGCCAACUUGAGGAUGGAAGGGGCGCCAAUACCAUACUACCUCUUUUCUAGGUCGGCCGCAGGUACAACAGCUGAGAAUCUAUUGGAGGGAGUGGAAAAGUUAACAAAGGGAGCUAUCCGUGGUCGGUUCUUCAAUUUCUAUCCACCACGCAAAGUGGAGCUCCUCAAAUGGCUGGGGCAUUGGAUGAAAAAAGGUGCUGUUCCAAUCGCCACUCUGAACCUGCAGCGCGGUGUGAAGCCUGGAUGGACAAUUCCUGAUGCCUGGCACCAUCAAAUGGUGUACGGAGUGAGCUCUAAAGGGGUAUAUUUGACAAAUCCACUAGAAAUCGUGUCAGCAGAGACCGUUAUGGACCAGUUGACUAGUGACUCAGUUCUGUUGGUCAGACGACAAGAUGUGGUCAAUAGAUUUAGGGACUGGGCUCCCCUCAACGACUUCUUGAAGCAGAGAGAUACACGCUGGCAAACAUUUAAUGUACUUGGUCAAGUAGUAAAUGUGUUACGUGAAGCAUGUACAGCGCUAUCACACCAAAUCCCACGGCACCGCGCCCAGCUCACCUCACACAUAACAAUUCCCGCAGCCUACAAGGCCGGUGUCACGCUGUUUGUACGUCAAAAUACACAGGUAGAGGAGGAACUCUUUAGUGUACAGGAACUGGAAUUGAGAGACGGAUCAGAUGCAGAGACCAAAAACUUAAACGGAUUAAGCAAAUGUGACCUCGAAUCAGAUUUGGACAGUUCUAGUUUGUCCUAGUACAAAUACCACUGUAAUUUAUUACUUGUAUUUUCUAUUUAAAAUUAUCUUAUUACAACUUGCUAUUAAUUAAAACUUGGCUGCUUACAUCAUGGUAUUGAGAUUAUGAAAUAACCGCAGAAACCGGCUGGUUGGAUAGUUAUAUAACAGUGCUGUAAAACUUUUUAAAGAAUUACAUUUUAGUAAUGAGCUCUUCCUUUUCUAUAUGCAGAUUUGUUCUGUGUUUUUAAAGUGUAAUAUUAUGAAUUAUGAAGAUGCUUUUAAUGAAACUGGACGGCUGUUAAUGUAAGUGUUGCUAUUUGUAUGUUUGUACUUGUGUGACCAUGAAUGUGUGUUAGGAAGGGGACCCCAGGUAUAUGUCUGUGGAGUACCCAGUGUGUGUUAGGUAGGGAAGACGUUCAGACUGCCAGGUAUAUGUUCUGUGGAGUACCCAGUGUGUGUUAGGUAGGGAAGACGUUCAGACCCCCAGGUAUAUGUUCUGUGGAGUACUGUACCCAGUGUGUUAGGUAGGGAAGACGUUCAGACCCCCAGGUAUAUGUUCUGUGGAGUACCCAGUGUGUGUUAGGUAGGGAAGACGUUCAGACCGCCAGGUAUAUGUUCUGUGGAGUACCCAGUGUGUGUUAGGUAGGGAAGACGUUCAGACCCCCAGGUAUAUGUUCUGUGGAGUACCCAGUGUGUGUUAGGAAGGGAAGACGUUCAGACCGCCAGGUAUAUGUCUGUGGAGUACCCAGUGUGUUAGGUAGGGAAGACGUUCAGACCCCCAGGUAUAUGUUCUGUGGAGUACCCAGUGUGUUAGGUAGGGAAGACGUUCAGACCCCGAGAUAUAUGUUCUGUGGAGUACCCAGUGUGUGUUAGGUAGGGAAGACGUUCAGACCGCCAGGUAUAUGUUCUGUGGAGUACCCAGUGUGUGUUAGGUAGGGAAGACGUUCAGACCGCCAGGUAUAUGUUCUGUGUAGUACCCAGUGUGUGUUAGGUAGGGAAGACGUUCAGACCCCCAGGUAUAUGUUCUGUGGAGUACCCAGUGUGUUAGGUAGGGAAGACGUUCAGACCGCCAGGUAUAUGUCUGUGGAGUACCCAGUGUGUUAGGUAGGGAAGACAUUCAGACCCCGAGGUAUAUGUUCUGUGGAGUACCCAGUGUGUGUUAGGUAGGGAAGACGUUCAGACCCCGAGGUAUAUGUUCUGUGGAGUACCCAGUGUGUGUUAGGUAGGGAAGACGUUCAGACCCCGAGGUAUAUGUUCUGUGGAGUACCCAGUGUGUUAGGUAGGGAAGACGUUCAGACCGCCAGGUAUAUGUCUGUGGAGUACCCAGUGUGUUAGGUAGGGAAGACAUUCAGACCCCGAGGUAUAUGUUCUGUGGAGUACCCAGUGUGUGUUAGGAAGGGAAGACGUUCAGACCCCGAGGUAUAUGUUCAUCUUCAGUUUAACAGCUGGAAAAUGAUUCCCAAGUAUGUGUUCAUUGCAGUCUUAAAAGCAUUUAAUCCAAAUCUACAAUUUUGCCCAUUAACUAUAGAAAUAUUUUACAAAUUUAUUGAAUUUGUACAUUUGAAGGUUCGUAUUUCAUAUGAAAUAUUACCAACAUUUUUUAAUUCAUUGCUGAUGGAUAUAGGCCAUCAAUAUAUAUAUGUAACUUAACUUUAUUCCUACCAGCUCUCACAGUGAAUAUUGCCAUGUAUCUUACCACCCGGUAUGAUGGUCAACAUUUCCUGGUUGUUCAGUGUACAUAGAUAUAAGUCAUUCAUCCUGUAUGUUACAAUAAAAAGGCAAAACAGUUACAGAAAAUUAGUGCUUGAAUUUAUCGUGCUGAAUGUUCAUUGAACAUUUAUUUUUAUUAUUCAGUUCCUUGAUGGUGCAAGGUGAGAAUAUUAUAAUCAUGACAAAAUAAAAUAGUGAACAGCUUCAAA
Molecule: RNA transcript, 5507 nt
Organism: Pecten maximus
Lineage: Eukaryota; Metazoa; Mollusca; Bivalvia; Pectinida; Pectinidae
Exons: 10
Source: RefSeq, a predicted model, not a curated record